UAACAACCCUCAUUCUACACAGGGCACCAUUGGCAUGCAUGGUGCUUUACAGGCAUCACAAGACAAAGACCUUGCCUCGAGGAGUUUACAAUCUAAUGCAGAGAGGGGACACAAUGAAUAAAAGACACACUGCAUAGAGUGACUCGAUUCCAGUGCUUCUACUACCAGGCAAGAUUGAAGGCAAACCAGGAAGAGAGAGAAACAUCGCCAGAUGGACUGAAAUCCACAGGAGAGCAGAGGUUUUACAACUUUGUCGCAAGUGCGAAAGACAGAAGGUGUUGGUUGACAACCUCCCUAUCAGAGAUGGCACUCGAAGAAGAAGAAUACUUUCAAAAGUGAUAUCUGCUGCUGUGUGUAUUCCAAGGCCACUCUGCUUCUUUGUCAUAGCCAGAGGAAGAGGAAGAGGAAAGAGGGGAAAGUUCAUUCAUGAAGGGGCAGAGAAUGGAUGUUCCUUUGGACAAUAUAGAUGCAACGUUAGGGCCCAAUUCUACUUCUUUUUCCCAUGCUGAUUAACUCCAACCCUGUGAGUUAUUUAAUUGACUUCAA
Mauremys reevesii (Reeves's turtle) is the source of this 546-nucleotide long non-coding RNA. RefSeq lists it as uncharacterized. The record is from RefSeq and is a predicted model, not a curated record. The transcript is spliced from 3 exons. Lineage: Eukaryota; Metazoa; Chordata; Testudines; Geoemydidae.